GUCUACGGCCAUGACCUCCUGAACAAGCUGGAUCCCGUCUGAUCUUGGAAGCUAAGCAGGGUAGGGGCUGGUUAGUGCUUGGAUGGGAGACCACCUGGGAAGACCAGGUGCUGUAGGCG
RNAcentral lists this ribosomal RNA (119 nucleotides) under Pteropus alecto (black flying fox). RNAcentral also lists the same sequence under 1 other name. Lineage: Eukaryota; Metazoa; Chordata; Mammalia; Chiroptera; Pteropodidae. The record is from RNAcentral.